This is a long non-coding RNA of Biomphalaria glabrata, 709 nucleotides long. RefSeq lists it as uncharacterized. The record is from RefSeq and is a predicted model, not a curated record. The transcript is spliced from 2 exons. Lineage: Eukaryota; Metazoa; Mollusca; Gastropoda; Planorbidae.
CAUAACUUAGCCACACUCUGGCAUGGGGAAAAAAAAAAUCUGCACACAACUAUUCUAGCUCCUAAAAUACCAUUUUAGUGAGAAUUAAAGCCUGUCAGAAUUACCUUCUAGUAUUUAGACCAAGGUUUCGUUUUGUAAAAUGUUUGUUCUUUGAGAGUUUAAGAUAAUCUACUUCCUGGUUCAAACCUCCCUGUCACAUAAUGGGGAACUAACUAUUUUUGAUUACUUGUAAAGUUAGGAGUGGUUUCCCCUUAUGAAGUUUAUUUAAGGCCAUGCAAACUGUGCUUAGUUGCCACUUGCUCCUGAGUUACCAGCCUGAACACUUGACCUGUGUUGUGAAUAGUAUUUUUUCUGUUAGUGGUCGUGUGUCAUGGGGUACUCGGAGAAGUGUGCCCUGCUCUGGAGAUCUUUGGGCUAAAUAACCCAUCAUUUUCAAAAACUGGGGCUUACCGGUACUUUGGCCAACUUUAGCCAGAGUUUUUGAGAUUCUACUUAAUUAUUAACAACAAUCACAUAUAUUCCAAAAGGCAAACUCACCAACAGACUGCCAAGACUGCCAUUCUGUAAUAUUUCAUGGGCUCCCUGAAUGAUGGCUUGAUAAGAAAAUCUCAGCUGAUCUGAAGUUUGGAUUAAACCCAUGCGAUAAGACCGCAUUUGGAGGAGCAUUUCUUUAACAUUGAUACUGUCUAGGCUGCCUUCAUUCUCCACC